RNAcentral lists this long non-coding RNA (2069 nucleotides) under Homo sapiens (human). RNAcentral describes it as "HSALNT0398132". The record is from RNAcentral. Lineage: Eukaryota; Metazoa; Chordata; Mammalia; Primates; Hominidae.
CUGCUGUAGCCCCUACGUGGUGAGUAGAUCGUCUCCACAGAAAUCAGCGGAGGCUUCCACAGUCCCUGGUUGGAAUGGAACCGGCGGUGAGGAUGAGAGGCGCUGAAGACCAGAAGACCCAGGGCGUGAACGGGGCGUGUCAUCCCUGGAGUUUCAGUAGAAUUUCAGGCCUGUCUGCUUGAGCAGCAGAGGAGGAGUUUCUGUGUGCCUGUGAGAGACUGUGUGUGUGUGUGUGUGUGUGUGUGUGUGUGAGAUGAAUGAACAGGGUUGUGUACGUGUGUGUGCGUUAGACAAAUGAACAGUGUUGUGUACCUGUGUGAAUUGUCACUGUGACUCCAGGCUCUAGGCUCUGCAGAUUCCUCAGCCCUAUCGCCUCACAGACACUUGGGAUGUGCAGCAGGUAAAAGAGAGAAGCCAGAUUCAUGGAGGCGUGAAGGAUCCCAGCAAGAAAACACAGACUUGAUCUUGAGACGAGAUUUUUGAAAUUGGUUGCGGCCUCAAGGCAGGCUCUGAGAAGACUCGAUAAAGAGUUCUCAGGAAUAGGCAUCCCUCCUGGAUAUUUCCCCCUUGGAAGCGCCGAGGAGCCAGCUCUAUGUUUGUAACCAUAGCAUUUCUAAAGCUCCAGCCCCAGGAACCUGCUGUGAAUUAGAGACAGAUUCCACCCUAGGCAUCACUGAUCUUGGCCUCUCUUGUAUUGGGAAGGUCAACACUGUUCCAGUUUCUCUCCUACUCCCAUCUGGUUGUGCUCGGUGAAGUAGGUGAGCAGUGCUACCCUUCUGUUAAAAAAAAAAAAAAAAAAAAGAUCCUGAAAGAGGAAAGAAUUUUUGCUACACAUCUGAAAGCUAAAGUCCAGAGAUAGUAACAUCUGAGAACGUGGCAGCAUCCUCUACUGUGUGGAGCACUGAUCACUGCACUAUUUCAGACGGACUUGUAAAUGAUUGUGAUACUGAAAAGCUACAGGAGCAGACUCUUUAUGAUCAACUCUUUAAAUUCAAAAUAUGAUUUCUAGAGCUUUUUUAUCCCUUAAUGUGACCCUCUAGAGAGGCCCUGGAGUGUUUGAAUUUAUGAAGGAUUUCUUUGAGAUUCAUUGAUCAUUCCAUUCUGUUUUCCUUGAAGCAUCAUUUUCUUGGUCCCUCGGGUGGCUUUCAUUUGGCCUUUCUUGUAUGGAACCUCUCUGCCACAGGAUUGUACUGGAAUUUUUCAAAAGCCUCAGCAUGCCAAAGUCCCAUUUCUUUUUUCAUAUGCAGAUAUUUCCUGCAUGUUGGAAACAAUUGAUUUUUUAACCAAAAUGGCUUAUUUCUAAGGUAGGUGCAAUUCCUGAACUGGAGCAGGGAGUCCAGUCCUCAUAGGUGGAGAGUGUAGUGACAAGAGGAUUUAUCCAAGUGACUUAGGGAAAACCAGUAAAAGGAAAACUGUUGUAUAUCAGUAUUCAAAACUCAGAGCCUUGAUAUUCUAAUUUGAGACAACUCAAAGACUUUAGGACUUGGGAGAAAACAAGGCCUCCUCACCGUACUCCAAAUAUCACUGUAUUCAUAACUUAUUUUAUUACAUUCUCUAAUAUUAGAUUGAUUAGCUCUAUUAUCAUUUUUUACUAUAAAAGUAAUACAUUCUCAUAUAGUAGUUCAGAAAAUACAGAAAAACCCAAAGUGAGGAAACAACAACUGUAAACAUUUUACUCCAGAUCUUUUUGGUUGGGUACGGUGGCUCAUGCCUGUAAUCUCAGCACUUUGGGAGGCCGAGGCAGAAGGAUCACUUGAGCCCAGGAGUGUGCGACCAGCCUGGGCAACAUAAUGAGAGCUCAUCUUUACUAAAAAUAAAUUAGCCGGGUCUGGUAGUAUGCACCUGUAGUCCCAGCUACAGGUCCAUGCCACCACCUGAGACGGGAGCAUAGCUUGAACCCAGGAGGUCGAGGCUGCAGUGAUCCGUGUUUGCACCACCACAUUCCAGGCUGAGUGACAGAGUGAGUCCCUGUCUCACACACACACACACAAUAUAUAUAUGUAUAUCUCCAUCCCUCAAGGCAUAUGCAUAUAUUCAUAUGUGUUAUUUUACCCACCAUAACAGAAUAA